RNAcentral lists this ribosomal RNA (253 nucleotides) under uncultured bacterium. RNAcentral describes it as "partial 16S ribosomal RNA". It matches the Rfam family "Bacterial small subunit ribosomal RNA", at positions 524 to 776 of the family's 1533-position model. The record is from RNAcentral.
UACGUAGGCAGCGAGCGUUGUUCGGAGUUACUGGGCGUAAAGCGUGCGUAGGCGGUGUCUUAAGUUUGUUGUGAAAUCUCCCGGCUUAACCGGGAGGGUGCGGCGAAUACUGAGAUGCUGGAGUGCCGGAGAGGUAAGCGGAAUUCCUGGUGUAGCGGUGAAAUGCGUAGAUAUCAGGAGGAACACCUGCGGUGUAGACGGCUUACUGGACGGUAACUGGCGCUGAGGCACGAAAGCGUGGGUAGCAAACAGG